RNAcentral lists this transfer RNA (78 nucleotides) under bacterium. RNAcentral's name for it is "tRNA-Asp". It matches the Rfam family "tRNA". Rfam says of the family: Transfer RNA (tRNA) molecules are approximately 80 nucleotides in length. Their secondary structure includes four short double-helical elements and three loops (D, anti-codon, and T loops). The record is from RNAcentral.
GCGGGCGUAGCUCAGCCUGGUUAGAGUGUCCCCCUGUCACGGGGAAGGUCGUGGGUUCAAAUCCCAUCGCCCGCGCCA